Molecule: non-coding RNA, 669 nt
Organism: Labrus bergylta (ballan wrasse)
Lineage: Eukaryota; Metazoa; Chordata; Actinopteri; Labriformes; Labridae
Source: RefSeq, a predicted model, not a curated record
AAAAUACUUUUUAGAACGCGUUUUUAGUUUCAAGUAAACAGUGCUCAACCAAUUUAAUUAUUUUUCAUAAUUGUACUCAAAUUAUUUGAUCUGCUCUGCAUGACGUCACGGUCACGUACAUACGUGCUCUCACCUGAAGGAGAGUCCGCCAUGUUUGCUCUCGCAUCGAGUCAGUAAGAAUGAGCCAGACACGCAGAGUGAACUUUACAACUUUACAACAAUUUGGACACAACAAGGAGAUAUUGUUUAGUUCAUGGAGCAAAUCGCAGACUUUUGAAGGGACUUUUGUUCGGACAUGCAGGAGUUUUCUGUCUCUACUCUGCUGAAUGCACUGACUGCUGUAGCAUUGUUGCUAUCUUUGAGCUAAUCUGGCUUAAACACAAGCAACUUGGUUAUAUCUGGAGUACGCAAUCUGACCACCUUUUCCCUGAGAUGUAAAGAGGUCAUCAAUGAUGACUUGCCUGUUGGAGACAUCCUGGAGUGCUGGCCUGCCCUAAAGAUGGAGUCACCGAUCUGUGCAAAGUUUCACAGCAUUACAAACAUCAACCUGAAAAACCACUUCUAUGCUGAGUUAGACAGACUUGUCUUGAGGGUUUGUUCUGGAAAGCUGCACGCACAGGGAAGGUAUCCGAAGUCCUGGAUCAGCUCUUCCACACUUAUGACCUCCAG